RNAcentral lists this ribosomal RNA (439 nucleotides) under uncultured bacterium. RNAcentral's name for it is "partial 16S ribosomal RNA". It matches the Rfam family "Bacterial small subunit ribosomal RNA", at positions 339 to 795 of the family's 1533-position model. The record is from RNAcentral.
CUACGGGCGGCAGCAGUGAGGAAUAUUGCACAAUGGGGGGAACCCUGAUGCAGCAACGCCGCGUGGAGGAUGACGCAUUUCGGUGUGUAAACUCCUUUUAUAUGUCAAGAAAAUGACGGUAGCAUAUGAAUAAGCACCGGCUAACUCCGUGCCAGCAGCCGCGGUAAUACGGAGGGUGCAAGCGUUACUCGGAAUCACUGGGCGUAAAGGACGCGUAGGCGGGUUGGAAAGUCAGGUGUGAAAUCCUACAGCUUAACUGCAGAACUGCACUUGAAACUUCUAAUAUAGAGUAUGGGAGGGGGAGAUGGAAUUAGUGGUGUAGGGGUAAAAUCCGUAGAUAUCACUAGGAAUACCUAAAGCGAAGGCGAUCUCCUGGAACAUUACUGACGCUAAGGCGUGAAAGCGUGGGGAGCAAACAGGAUUAGAUACCCCAGUAGUC